This 433-nucleotide ribosomal RNA is filed under the name uncultured bacterium. RNAcentral's name for it is "partial 16S ribosomal RNA". It matches the Rfam family "Bacterial small subunit ribosomal RNA", at positions 29 to 507 of the family's 1533-position model. The record is from RNAcentral.
AACGAACGCUGGCGGCAUGCCUAACACAUGCAAGUCGAACGAGACCUUCGGGCUUAGUGGCGCACGGGUGCGUAACGCGGGGGAACUUACCCUUAGGUACGGAAUAACUCACCGAAAGGGGUGCUAAUAACGGAUAAUGUCUUCGGACCAAAGAUUUAUCGCCUUUGGAUGGGCCCGCGUUGGAUUAGCUAGUUGGUAGGGUAAAAGCCUACCAAGGCGACGAUCCAUAGCUGGUCUGAGAGGAUGAUCAGCCACACUGGGACUGAGACACGGCCCAGACUCCUACGGGAGGCAGCAGUGGGGAAUAUUGGACAAUGGGCGAAAGCCUGAUCCAGCAAUGCCGCGUGAGUGAUGAAGGCCUUAGGGUUGUAAAGCUCUUUUACCCGGGAUGAUAAUGACAGUACCGGGAGAAUAAGCUCCGGCUAACUCCGUG